Molecule: long non-coding RNA, 1017 nt
Organism: Ornithorhynchus anatinus (platypus)
Lineage: Eukaryota; Metazoa; Chordata; Mammalia; Monotremata; Ornithorhynchidae
Exons: 2
Source: RefSeq, a predicted model, not a curated record
GCUGCUGAUGCUUCCUCCUCCCCACUGCUCCACCACCUAUCUGGGGUGCUUCUGCAGAUGGGAAGGAAUUUGAGAAGGAAAGACAGUGACCAGUGUUUCCUGUUAUGGUGACAGCACAAGAACUCAAGUUUUAGCAGAGAUGCCCAUCAUGCCCUGUCAGAGCCUGUCCUUCCCUCGACCUUGACCAUCCCCUGACCUCCCUGCUCCAGUGGAGGCCGCUGAUGAGGGUCGGAGGCAGAGAGCACCCGGACUUCAGAUGCCGAGAACUUUAUGUGAGUUGAUGGAGCAGAAUUGCUGGUGGAGUGUGAGUCUGGCAAUCGGGAAGCUGAGGGCAGCACUUGCUCCGCCUCACCCCUGCCCUCCCCACUGCCCAGCCUUCCUGGGCAUUCAAUUUUGCUCUGCUCUGUGGAGUGCAGUCAGAGCACAGAAGAGAGCAGAGGAUUUUAUUCCAAGCAGGCAGGGGCUGGAGGAAAAGGAAGGAGGAAGAAAAUGGAGAGGAGGAGGAGGUGGAGGAGACAGAGGAGAAGGAGGAGGAGGAGACUGGCUGGCCAGGUGUUCCACAGAUCCUCAGGGGGCUCAACAAGAGGAAAUCACAUUAUUCAGGAGUGAUUUUGCUUGGCAUCACAGAGAGCGGCUUGAUUGUCAGAGUGAUAAAACACUGGCGUGGACAAUCAAGAGGAGCGCUGUAGGUUUUUAGCCAAGAAUAACCAUCAGUCUGACCAGAUGGAUUAGUCAUUCACCUGCAUGGGCACAGAGGGGGGACCAGAUGGUCUCCCUUGAGAUCCCUUCCAGCUCUAUGGGUCUAAGAGCUGCACUCUCCCCCUCCAGGAAUUCCUUGUCUUAGCCACUGGCGGGGGGUUAACUGGUAUGCUGGGAGUGCCUAUCUGGUGUGCCAUGAAGUCAGAGCAGCAUUUAAUCUUGCCUGUGUCUGUCUGUCCAUCACUGUUCUUGCCUCUCCUGGCCCUCAGGGGCCACCAAGCCAAGGUUUCUCAUUAAAUCAAGGUCUGUGAUGACUGG